RNAcentral lists this long non-coding RNA (830 nucleotides) under Androctonus crassicauda. The record is from RNAcentral. Lineage: Eukaryota; Metazoa; Arthropoda; Arachnida; Scorpiones; Buthidae.
AUUUGAUUCUUCAGUUGGCUUUUAAAUUUGAUUUUUGAAUAUCAAUUACAUAUUAAUCCUGAUUUAUGAGAGCUCAGUUUUACAAACAAACAUAAUUUGUGCCAUAAUUCAAAUUCUGAGCUUUAUUUCACUUUAAUGACAAAUUUAUAACAAGUGAAUAUUUCAAAAAUCAAGUAAGGCAUGUCUUUUUAAUGUGAAUUAAUACUUUAAAGAUGCCAACAUUAUCAGAGAAAUAAAAACUAUAAAAAUGCUUUCCUUGAUGAAGAAUUCCUAAAGUCUGCUACUAGCUCGAACACAGCCUCUCCGUCUAAAAAGGAUUAUUUAACUGUAUCAUAUCCACUUAGUGAUCUAAGACGCACCAAAGAGAUAGCAAGGUUCACGAGAACAAAGCUACUGUACGGAGGACACCGAAUAUCUUCAACAAUAUAAGGAACAAAAAGAAUAGGAGAGAGGAUUUAAAAAAACCAGAUGUUUAUAAAAUACCCCUUGAAUAUCAGAAUACCAGAUAAACAGCACCAUAUGUGGGUAUGACAACAAGAACCCUCAGACAAAGGCUUAAGGAGGACAAGAGGGACAUAGAGAAGGCAAAUCUUAGCACUAUGUUAAUAACUGAGGCAUAUAUUAUGGACCUAUGGGUUGAUUUGAAUAAUGCUAAAAUUGUAAAGCCCAUCCUAAGAGAGUCACAGGCCUUGUUAACCAAAACAAUAGAAAUAACCAGAAGGCACGAAACGGAAAUCUCAUAAAUGAUAAAUCAGCAGUCGGCAUGGGACUACAUCCUAAAAAUAACAAGCUAAUGAUGGAAGAACAAGAUGUUACAUAAUGAGCCAUGA